GUGCACGCUGGCGGUAGGCCUAACCCCUGCAAGUCGCACGGCAGCACAGUAAGAGCUUGCUCUUACGGGUGGCGAGUGGCGGACGGGUGAGGAAUACAUCGGAAUCUACUUUUUCGUGGGGGAUAACGUAGGGAAACUUACGCUAAUACCGCAUACGACCUACGGGUGAAAGCAGGGGAUCUUCGGACCUUGCGCGAUUGAAUGAGCCGAUGUCGGAUUAGCUAGUUGGCGGGGUAAAGGCCCACCAAGGCGACGAUCCGUAGCUGGUCUGAGAGGAUGAUCCGCCACACUGGAACUGAGACACGGUCCAAACUCCUACGGGGGGCAGCAGGGGGGAAUUUUGGACAAGGGGCGCAAGCCUGAUCCAGCCAUACCGGGGGGGUGAAGAAGGCCUUCGGGUUGUAAAGCCCUUUUGUUGGGAAAGAAAAGCAGCAGGUUAAUCCCCCGCUGUUCUGACGGUACCAAAAGAAUAAGCACCGGCUAACUUCGU
RNAcentral lists this ribosomal RNA (490 nucleotides) under uncultured bacterium. Its description in RNAcentral is "partial 16S ribosomal RNA". It matches the Rfam family "Bacterial small subunit ribosomal RNA", at positions 29 to 506 of the family's 1533-position model. The record is from RNAcentral.